UAGCUAGUUGGUGAGGUAAAGGCUUACCAAGGCGACGAUCUGUAGCGGGUCUGAGAGGAUGAUCCGCCACACUGGAACUGAGACACGGUCCAGACUCCUACGGGAGGCAGCAGUGGGGAAUUUUGGACAAUGGGGGCAACCCUGAUCCAGCCAUGCCGCGUGAGUGAAGGAGGCCUUCGGGUUGUAAAGCUCUUUCGGCCGGGAAGAAAUCGCAUGGGCCAAUACCCUGUGUGGAUGACGGUACCGGAAUAAGAAGCACCGGCUAACUACGUGCCAGCAGCGGCGGUAAUACGUAGGGUGCGAGCGUUAAUCGGAAUUACUGGGCGUAAAGCGUGCGCAGGCGGUUUUGUAAGACAGGCGUGAAAUCCCCGGGCUUAACCUGGGAACUGCGUUUGUGACUGCAAGGCUAGAGUACGGCAGAGGGGGGUGGAAUUCCACGUGUAGCAGUGAAAUGCGUAGAGAUGUGGAGGAACACCAAUGGCGAAGGCAGCCCCCUGGGUCGAUACUGACGCUCAUGCACGAAAGCGUGGGUAGCAAACAGGAUUAGAUACCCUGGUAGUCCACGCCCUAAACUAUGUCAACUAGGUGUUGGGUGGGUAAAACCAUUUAGUACCGUAGCUAACGCGUGAAGUUGACCGCCUGGGGAGUACGGCCGCAAGGUUAAAACUCAAAGGAAUUGACGGGGACCCGCACAAGCGGUGGAUGAUGGGGAUUAAUUCGAUGCAACGCGAAAAACCUUACCUACCCUUGACAUGCCAGGAACUUGCCAGAGAUGGCUUGGUGCCCGAAAGGGAGCCUGGACACAGGUGCUGCAUGGCUGUCGUCAGCUCGUGUCGUGAGAUGUUGGGUUAAGUCCCGCAACGAGCGCAACCCUUGUCGUUAGUUGCCAUCAUUUAGUUGGGCACUUUAACGAGACUGCCGGUGACAAACCGGAGGAAGGUGGGGAUGACGUCAAGUCCUCAUGGCCCUUAUGGGUAGGGCUUCACACGUCAUACAAUGGUCGGUACAAAGGGUUGCCAAGCCGCGAGGCGGAGCCAAUCCCAGAAAGCCGAUCGUAGUCCGGAUUGCAGGCUGCAACUCGCCUGCAUGAAGUCGGAAUCGCUAGUAAUCGUGGAUCAGCAUGUCACGGUGAAUACGUUCCCGGGUCUUGUACACACCGCCCGUCACACCAUGGGAGCGGGUUCCGCCAGAAGUAGGUAGCCUAACCGCAAGGGGGGCGCUUACCACGGCGGGGUUCGUGACUGGGGUGAAGUCGGAACAAGGUAGCCGUAGGGGAACCUGCGGCUG
Molecule: ribosomal RNA, 1287 nt
Filed under: metagenome
Description: bacterial SSU rRNA
Rfam family: Bacterial small subunit ribosomal RNA
Source: RNAcentral